AUUUUUAAUUCAUGUAUACAGAAAUAUUGGAGGAAAUCCCUUGCUUAUUUUUCUCACGCCCCUGUUUCCAGCAGCGCUCUGAGGUGGGCUACUUUCUCGUAAGCUGCACCAUCGCACGGAUGAAAUGCACAUGUCACUUGCAUAAACUAGUUAAGAAAGUACAAUUAUAAAAGCUGGGACUUCCAUUUUUUUAUCAGAAGUUUCU
Pelobates cultripes (western spadefoot toad) is the source of this 205-nucleotide non-coding RNA. The record is from the annotation of a GenBank genome assembly. NCBI's taxonomy places the organism in Eukaryota, Metazoa, Chordata, Amphibia, Anura, Pelobatidae.